GGCAGCUGCAACUGGAAGAGAAGGAGAGGAAACAGAGCAGGGGAAGAAGAAGAGGCUGCGGCUGUGGUGGCUGCGGUCAUGGGUGCGACGUUGGCUGCGGUAGCUGCGGCAGCGAUGGUGGCUGCAGCAGCUGCUUUUGGGAAAGAGAAAGAAAGGAAAGGGAAAAAAAAAGGGGAUGUGGCCGUGAUUGCGGCUGCGGUGGUGGUGGCUGCGUCUGCGGCAGUUGUGUUUGGGAAAAAAAAAGUAGGAACGAGAGAAGGGAGG
Molecule: long non-coding RNA, 264 nt
Filed under: Musa acuminata (dwarf banana)
Lineage: Eukaryota; Viridiplantae; Streptophyta; Magnoliopsida; Zingiberales; Musaceae
Description: long non-coding RNA (MACU_LNC005292)
Source: RNAcentral